AUUGAACGCUGGCGGCAGGCCUAACACAUGCAAGUCGAGCGGAUGAAGGGAGCUUGCUCCUGGAUUCAGCGGCGGACGGGUGAGUAAUGCCUAGGAAUCUGCCUGGUAGUGGGGGAUAACGUCCGGAAACGGGCGCUAAUACCGCAUACGUCCUGAGGGAGAAAGUGGGGGAUCUUCGGACCUCACGCUAUCAGAUGAGCCUAGGUCGGAUUAGCUAGUUGGUGGGGUAAAGGCCUACCAAGGCGACGAUCCGUAACCGGUCUGAGAGGAUGAUCAGUCACACUGGAACUGAGACACGGUCCAGACUCCUACGGGAGGCAGCAGUGGGGAAUAUUGGACAAAGGGCGAAAGCCUGAUCCAGCCAUGCCGCGUGUGUGAAGAAGGUCUUCGGAUUGUAAAGCACUUUAAGUUGGGAGGAAGGGCAGUAAGUUAAUACCUUGCUGUUUUGACGUUACCAACAGAAUAAGCACCGGCUAACUUCGUG
Molecule: ribosomal RNA, 484 nt
Filed under: uncultured bacterium
Lineage: Bacteria
Description: partial 16S ribosomal RNA
Rfam family: Bacterial small subunit ribosomal RNA
Source: RNAcentral